Molecule: transfer RNA, 63 nt
Filed under: Ligyra sp. 2017
Lineage: Eukaryota; Metazoa; Arthropoda; Insecta; Diptera; Bombyliidae
Description: tRNA-Cys
Source: RNAcentral
AGCUUUAUAUUCAAUAAUGAUAUUAGACUGCAAUUCUAAAGGAGUAUUUAUAUACUAAGGCUU